This 68-nucleotide transfer RNA is filed under the name Cladiucha punctata. Its description in RNAcentral is "tRNA-His". The record is from RNAcentral. Lineage: Eukaryota; Metazoa; Arthropoda; Insecta; Hymenoptera; Tenthredinidae.
AUUUAAGUAUUUUAAUUAAAAUAAUGAUUUGUGGUGUCAUUGAUAUAAAUUUAUAUUUAUCUUAAAUA